Long non-coding RNA from Salarias fasciatus (jewelled blenny), 1096 nucleotides. RefSeq lists it as uncharacterized. Lineage: Eukaryota; Metazoa; Chordata; Actinopteri; Blenniiformes; Blenniidae. The record is from RefSeq and is a predicted model, not a curated record. The transcript has 3 exons.
CAAAAAAGAGCCGAUGCCCUCGCUUCUAGAAUCUAUUAUCCCUGAAUUAAUGAUGGAACAGGAGCAGUGGUAUCCCCCCACUGAGACAUGAACCAGAUUUCAACCCGUAGCUCCCUCGAGUUAAGGGCCAGCAUCUCUCUGACAGGACAUCUGGUCCCUGAGCAUGGCCACCAGGGGGUCGAUGUCGCCACCUUAAUUGUAAUGUUUCCCUCUUCCUCCCAGUCCAAAACUAGGGCAGCUUUCCAUAAAAGGAGAAGAGAAGAGGGGGAGCCACUAUGUGCUGGGCCGUGUCGGCAUGCCACAUCAUUUAGGCUGACAGCUCUAAUAAAUUACAGCAACAGAUCGCUGUGAACAAACAAAGCUUAAUGGAAAUAAAGUGAGCAUUAUCAGCCCAGAAAUAAAAGGAAAAAAAAGGAUGAAAUUAGCGCAAAGAGAGUGGAUGAAAGGGUGUCAGGCCCACAUAGCAUAAGCAUUAAAAUGGGCAAAUUGCCACUUUGAACGAUAGGAAAUGUUUUGUUCUCAUUAUUACUUCUGUUCAAAAUGGAGAAUAAUGUGAGAGUCCCCGAGCAGACAUAAAGCAUCAUGCAUCUAACUCUUCAAAAUCAUCCUCCCCUAUUGCCUGAACCCCUCCCAGCUCCCCUUGUUUUGCCUCCCAGAAAACAAUGCCGCAGAUUGUUCUGCUCUGAAGGACCUUUCCCCCAUCAAUCCAGCCAAGCCAGAGAAAGCCUGGAAGCCCAUGUUGUUAAAAAGCUUAGGCAUGUGGAAGAGAACGACAACAGAUGGAAGCAGGUGAAAUGGUAUGUCAGGGGAAAUGUUUGUCAGGCCCUAUCAGUAUGAGAGCUGUCCAUCCAGACCUUCAAAAGAACGGCCGGGCAGAGAGCACUCGGCUUUCAGGUCCACUCCACUUUGUCCAUGACGGGAAAAAAGCCCAAUGGCAGAAAGAAGUAUACUGAACUGAACUAUAAAAGAUAAAAGAUUGCUAUAAAGAAGAGCUAACCUCAUCAGGACACGAACUACCAGCUGCAGAAUUAGUGAUGUCUAAAUGCAGUUCAAAAGAAAGUAAAACUCCUUCCUUGACACAGUGAAUACAGUGCCU